GUGCCAGCAGCCGCGGUAAUACGGGGGGGGCAAGCGUUGUUCGGAAUUACUGGGCGUAAAGGGCUCGUAGGCGGCCAACUAAGUCAGACGUGAAAUCCCUCGGCUUAACCGGGGAACUGCGUCUGAUACUGGAUGGCUAGAGUGUGGGAGAGGGAUGCGGAAUUCCAGGUGUAGCGGUGAAAUGCGUAGAUAUCUGGAGGAACACCGGUGGCGAAGGCGGCAUCCUGGACCACGACUGACGCUGAGUGAGCGAAAGCCAGGGGAGCAAACGGGAUUAGAUACCCCAGUAGUCC
This 293-nucleotide ribosomal RNA is filed under the name uncultured bacterium. RNAcentral's name for it is "partial 16S ribosomal RNA". It matches the Rfam family "Bacterial small subunit ribosomal RNA", at positions 505 to 796 of the family's 1533-position model. The record is from RNAcentral.